This is a transfer RNA of 105 nucleotides. It matches the Rfam family "tRNA". From Rfam's summary of the family: Transfer RNA (tRNA) molecules are approximately 80 nucleotides in length. Their secondary structure includes four short double-helical elements and three loops (D, anti-codon, and T loops).
GGUUGUAUAGUGUAGCGGUUAGCACGUGGGAUUUUGACUACACAUCAGAAUCUUGUUCUAUCAAGAACACUUCCCGAAUCCCAGGUUCGAGCCCUGGUACGACCU